This 523-nucleotide small RNA is filed under the name Curvularia spicifera. RNAcentral describes it as "eukaryotic LSU rRNA". The stretch from base 185 to 338 matches the Rfam family "5.8S ribosomal RNA". The record is from RNAcentral. Lineage: Eukaryota; Fungi; Ascomycota; Dothideomycetes; Pleosporales; Pleosporaceae.
UGAACCUGCGGAGGGAUCAUUACACAAUAAAAUACGAAGGCCGUUCGCGGCUGGACUAUUUAUUACCCUUGUCUUUUGCGCACUUGUUGUUUCCUGGGCGGGUUCGCUCGCCACCAGGACCACAAUAUAAACCUUUUUUAUGCAGUUGCAAUCAGCGUCAGUAUAACAAAUGUAAAUCAUUUACAACUUUCAACAACGGAUCUCUUGGUUCUGGCAUCGAUGAAGAACGCAGCGAAAUGCGAUACGUAGUGUGAAUUGCAGAAUUCAGUGAAUCAUCGAAUCUUUGAACGCACAUUGCGCCCUUUGGUAUUCCAAAGGGCAUGCCUGUUCGAGCGUCAUUUGUACCCUCAAGCUUUGCUUGGUGUUGGGCGUUUUUGUCUUUGGCCCGCCAAAGACUCGCCUUAAAAUGAUUGGCAGCCGGCCUACUGGUUUCGCAGCGCAGCACAUUUUUGCGCUUGCAAUCAGCAAAAGAGGACGGCAAUCCAUCAAGACUCCUUCUCACGUUUGACCUCGGAUCAGGUAG